RNAcentral lists this small RNA (356 nucleotides) under Vigna angularis var. angularis. RNAcentral describes it as "Non-protein coding transcript". Lineage: Eukaryota; Viridiplantae; Streptophyta; Magnoliopsida; Fabales; Fabaceae. The record is from RNAcentral.
AUUAAAAUUUUGCUUUGGACGGAAAGUAUAUGAUUACAAAGUGAUGAAAGUAUAAUCCAAGUUGUAAAUCAAGUUCCAUUUGUGUAGGAUCUCUUGGUGAGAUCCUUAGUGUUUUAGAAUGAAAGUAGGAGCUCAGUCUUGGGAGUCAUUGGGCAACUUACAGGAAGUAUAAUCCAAGUUGUAAAUCAAGUUCCAUUUGUGUAGGAUCUCUUGGUGAGAUCCUUAGUGUUUUAGAAUGAAAGUAGGAGCUCAGUCUUGGGAGUCAUUGGGCAACUUACAGGAAAUAUUGACUGUCCCCACACAUCACCAUGCCCCUACACAUCACCACGAGAUUUUCCAAUGUGAUUACUCCAAGC